GCAUAGACACGUUUCGAUUACAGAGGGGACGCAGAUGGUGGAGGAGACCUACGGGCAUUCUGUCACGAGUUUGCAGUAACAAUAGGACGUAUAUUUAUGGCAGCUGGAGUCCGUAGCCUACACGCGCUUGCAUACAAAAUACAGACAUCUGCAUACUAGUAAUUCCUCAUGCCAUCCAAACACUCCUUUGUCCAGUCUUUUUAUUUACUCUCUUUUAACCGCCCAUCAGAGGCAGCUGCUCGCCAUUUACCAGACCUCUGCUCAAUCAACGUGACGCACUCCACAGCACGUCCUCAUUUUAGAGGAGAUCGACGCAUGGAGGAUCGGACAGCUCGAGCGUUUCAUCGCACCCUUACUGACUGACACAGAUGCUGCGAGACUGGUGCAUUGUGGACCGGCGGUCAAAUUUACAUCAUUGCAAAAGUGGCCAAACCCACAGCCCAGCUGGCAGGAUGCAAGUCCCCAUGACGACUGGGGUGCCCUGGUGUCCCUGACGGACUGGUGAAUACAGGAGUAGGGAGAGACAGAUGGGUAUGUGUUCAGUAUAUCCUCAUACUGUGGAGGGGGUUCUUGUAAAGGUUUAACAGCCGUUAUUGAUGGUAAUUCUGUUUUGUGUGCUCCAUUCCUUGAUAUUUUUUUAUUGACUAUUGUUGGUAUUAGUGGGGGCUGCCGUAACAAGUUAUUCAUUUAAAUAAGGUUAGUUCAAGGUAAAACAUGUCAAAUAAGUUAGAAAAAAAGGUUAUUCAGGUCCAUUAGAUACUGUUCCUCAACGCCUAUGAUUCUUGGUGAUUUUGCAGAUUAAUUUAGUAACUCUUCAUAGUAUCUAUUGGCAGUGGUCAAGGCCAAUGGUCCAGUACGUCCUUGGUAGGGUUUUGGGGACAGGUGUUCCAGGGGGUUGCGUUCCACUUUCUGCUGCUCUCUGCUCUGUGUUUAUCUCCAGAUAUAUCCUGAGGAAGAUGCUGGGAAGGUGCCAGCCCCCAGAGCCUAUUUAGAUGAGUCCACAACAUGUCCUGACUGACAAGGCUGUCAACAAAGCUGUUUUUAAACAGUUGUCAACGUGGUUCAUCCUUACCGAACUGGGACGGGAACUGGGACCUAUGGCUUUCACCCACUGAGAAAGGGGCACAACAUUGGCAUUCACUCACUGCUGAUGGGGCACAGCCACACUUCUUUAGUUAUCAAUAUGUGUUAGAAGUGUAUCACCUUGCUGUGAUUAUUUGGAUAUUUUACUUAGCCUACUUAAAAUGGGAUUAUCAUUGGCACAUUGCUGGUUCCCCUUUAACCUUUUACUGCAAUGAGCAAAAUCAGUCAGUGUUUCUUGGUUGUCUUAACCUCUGGGAGAUGUGUAGCGUCCCACCUCGCCAACAGCCAGUGACAGUGCAGGGCGCCAAAUUCAAAACAACAAAUCUCAAAUCAAAAUUCCUCAAAGCAUACAAGUAUUUUACACCAUUUUAAAGAUAAAAUUCUCGAUAAUCCAGCCACAGUGUCGGAUUUCAAAAAUGCUUUACAGCGAAAGUACCACAAACGAUUAUGUUAGGUCACCACCAACUCACAGAAACACAGCCAUUUUUCCAGCCAAAGAGAGGAGUCACAAAAAGCACGAGAAAAUUAAUCACUAACCUUUGAGCUUCAUCAGAUGACACUCCUAGGACUUAAUGUUACACACUACAUGUAUGUUUUGUUCGAUAAAGUGCAUAUUUAUAUUUAAAAAAAUCUAAUUUUACAUUGGCGCGUUACGUUCAGUAGUAAAACAUGUGGUGAUUGUGCAGAGAGCCACAUCUAUUUACAGAAAUACUCAUUAUAAAUGUUGAUGAAAAUACAAGUGUUAUACAUGGAAUUUGAGAUACUUCUCCUUAAUGCAACCGCUGUGUCAGAUUUUUUUUUUAAACGUGAAGGAAAAAGCAAACCAUGCAAUAAUCUGAGUACAGCGUUCAGACAACAAAGCAGCCAAAAAUAUAUCCGCCAUAUUGUGUAGUCAACAUUAGUCAGAAAUGGCAUUAUAAAUAUUCACUUUGAUGAUCUUCAUCAGAAUGCACACCCAGGAAUCCCAGUUCCACGAUAAAUGUUUGAUAUGAUCGAUAAUGUCCAUUUUAUGUCCAAAUAGCUUCUUUUGUUAGCACGCUUGGUAAACAAAUCCAAACGCGCGUUCAGGUCCAGCCGAACGGUGGACAAAAAGUUGUAUUACAUCCCGUAGAAACUUGUCAAACUAAGUAUAGAAUCAAUCUUUAGGAUGUUUUUAUCAUAAAUGUUCCAACCGGAGAACUCCUAUGUCUGUAGAAAAGCAAUAGAACGAGAGCUAACUCUCCCGUGACCGCGACUCGGAGCCUGUGGCACUCUGGCAGACAACUGUCUCAAUCAGCUCUCAUUCACCCCCACUUCACAGUAGAAGCCUGAAACAACGUUCUAAAGACUGUUGACAUCUAGUGGAAGCCUUAGGAAGUGUAAUAUGACCCCAUUUACACUGUAUAGAUUUCCCACUUCCUGGUUGGAUUUUUCUCAGGUUUUCGCCUGCCAUAUGAGUUCUGGUAUACUCACAGACAUCAUUCAAACAGUUUUAGAAACUUCAGUGUUUUCUAUCCAAUACUACUAAUAAUAUGCAUAUAUUAGCAUCUGGGCCAGAGUAGCAGGCAGUUUACUCUGGGCACCUUAUUCAUCCAAGCUACUCAAUACUGCCCCCCCCCUGUCACCAAGAAGUUAAACAAAUCUACUAUGAAACAAGAGUAUACACCUCACACACAUGGUUAUGGGCUUUAAAAAAAUACCUGUACCAUAUUAGAAAUACAUUUGAAAUGUAUUCAAUUUUGAGUUUGCAUCCCAAUAUUACAGUUUAUAUACAUCAAAGAAGACAAACAUUACAAAACCAUAGAAACACAGAAUUUUCAGCGGGUUUUUGAAAUAAUGUUUAAUGAUAAAAGAUAUGAAUAACAUUCCACCCAUGAGUCCAUUUAGAUGGAGAUUUGGUCAUUUGACUGCAGGAAAGGGCUACUUGUAGUCUUUUAUGCCACAUUGCUCAGGACUUUAUUGGAUAGGACCACAUUUCAUGCCAUAAGAGAGACCCAUAAGGGGUGGGGUUGUAGUGUUGUGUGUCUGACACUUUGGUGCUUUGCAUUUCCUUCCCUGAAAUACUGUUUAACUGAGGGAUGCUUUCUCUCCCCUCCUUUGUAAAAUAACUCUAACACGUUCUGAUCCCCUUCCACACUGUUCAGCUGAUCAAAGCACUGACACUGCAGUUGACUAACACCUCUCUCUGAUGCCUGCUUCUCCUCAUGCUGUCAGCACUGUCCUUUCUCUUCUCUGUAACCUUGGCAACACUAACACCUUACUCACCUCCGAUCUCUGACGUCUAACAUGACUAACAAGAUUGAGUCUGCUGAGAUGGCCUUGCUGUUAAUUUCAAUGAUGUGCUCCUAACCAAGCUAGCUAGCAGGGAGCAUGCCCAUGACAAGCCUGUGCGGAUGGUUUGGUAACAUUAGUCUACCCUAACAUUACAGGAGUGUUGAGGAUGUUAGAUUUGUCAGUGUGUGUAGCUGGGUUGGGGGUAUCUCUCAAUCUUACCACCCUAGUUUUUAGAUGGUUUCCCGAGGCCUGGUUUGUCUUGUGAUUGCUGCAUGUACUGGUAACUCUGAGUAACCUUAGCUGGAGUCGUAAAGAACUAACCAACACUGGGGUAAUCCUGGUUUACUAACCUGGACUAACAGUCUAACAUUCACUAAUCAACCAAACUGAAACCCAAGCACUGGAGAAGUGCCUUGUCUGACUCUCCCUGGUUAAAACCAUCCUUAACCUAAUGGUCUGUUAAAACCACUGUGUGUGUGGGUGUACAUUGUGUGUUUAAGAGUGGGGCUGUUACUGUCAUUAAUAUUCUUACACUCUGAAACCAAACCCCCAACUGCCAACAGCUCUCUUGUCAUUCCUUAAUAAAUACACUAACAAUAAAACUCUAAUACCUAACAGUACUAACGUCUGCUAACAGACCUAUUGUUACUAAUACUCAACUGUACUAUGGAUGAUGUUGGCUGGACUUGUAAUUUCUAACACACUCACUAACCCUUUGCUUUGUGCCCUGAGUCUGAGACAGUCCUCUCACAUUUUCCUGAAACCCUUCUCCGCCAGACACAGAUCACCCAAAAUCAUAUACAAGAACUAUGUAUUUAUCAAUCUGUUAUAACUUAACCGUUAUAACCUAUAAACUUUACUAUUUAUAUUUUUGACAACUUUUACAUUCCUAAAGAAAAUAAUGUACUUUUUACUCUUUACAUUUUCCCUGACACCCAAAAGUGCUUGUUGCAUUUUGAAUGCUUAGCAGGACAGGAGAAUUGUCUAUUUCACAAACUUAUCAAAAGAACAUCCCUACUGUCUCUGAUCUGGCGGACUCACUAAACACAUGCUUCAUUAGUAAAUUAUGUCUGAGGGUUGUAGUGUGCCCCUGGCGAUCUGUAAAUUUAAAAAACAAGACAAUUGUGCCGUCUGGAAUUUUACAAUAUUUUUAUUUUACUUUUGAUAAAGUACAUUUAAAAACAAAUACUUUUAGACUUUUACUCAAGUAGUAUUUUACUAGUUGACUUUCAUUUCUACUUGUCAUUUCUUUUAAGGUAUCUUUAGUUUUACUCAAGUAUGAACAUUUUGUGCUUUUCUUCAUCAUUGCCCCAUAUCUCAGUUUGUGCUAACUAUGAGUGAGAUGCCUACAUGCCACGUAUAGAGCAAAUAUUGUCUUCCCUACAGAUUAUAAAAAAAGAACAGAUGCUCUGAACUAUCUGAUCAGACUCCCAGUUCUACCUACCUACCUACCUACAGGUUAUGGAACAUUUGCUAUUUUUGCCCAGCAGGUUUCCUCAAGGAGAAAUCCUCCAUUUCUAUGAGCCUCUCCCGAGUCCAAACAUGAGUUUGCAAAGAUGGGUCAAGAUUGUAAGUACCAAUUGGAUGUCACGAAAUUGUGGAGAAAAAGGGGUAAAAAGUACAAACAAAUACUACAAAAAACCUCAUAGUAAAUACUAGAGCAAUAUCUGUAAAAACUACAGUAAUUACUAUAGUAUAUGCUAUAGUUUUUACUAUAGUAAUAUUUUCAGUAUUUAUACUGUAGUAAGCUUUACUACAGUAUACUAGAGUUGUCCACAAAAACACUACAGUGAAACCUAUAGUAUACUUAUGCAAAAACUACAGUGAAUACUAUAGUAUAUUAGUCAUGUCCGCAAAAACACUACAGUGAAAACUAUAAUAUACUACUUGUAAAACACUACACUGAAUACGAUAGUAUAUAAAUAUAGUAAUACUACAGUAUUUAGAGCAUAGUAUUUUUUUCAUAUGUGACUCUUUUAAUCCUGUCACCCACUCCACCCUGCCCCUUGGUGAGAUCAAACAGCAUCUAGUAGGCCAUGCAGUAUAUUGUCUUUACUUCCUGAGUCAUCAUGAGGAUAGACAUCCUUGUGUCCUUGAUCAUAUGACAUUUUACUAACCUCCUGAAAUGGAGUGAGAACACUAACUAUUGGGCGAUCCCACGCCAGUGGGAGCAGAAAAUAUUUUUGUUAUCUCAGAUUGUUCUUUCAAUUCUAACAUAGAAACUUCAUUGGGAGGAAGGAUGUUUGAAAUGCUUUUAUUUGUAUCACAAACUGUUUGAGAGAAUCAUGAUGAAAGUAGCCAUUUUAAGUAAGAAACAAAAAGGAAAUAGUCAAACAAAAUAACAAAACUAUAUACAAGGAGUACUGGUACCGAGUCAAUUUGCAGGGAUACGAGGAAAUUGAGGCAAUAUGUACAUGUACAGUUGAAGUCGGAAGUUUACAUACACCUUAGCCAAAUACAUUUAAACUCAGUUUUUCACAAUUGCUGACAUUUAAUCCUAGUAACAAUUCCCUGUCUUAGGUCAGUUAGGAUCACCACUUUAUUUUAAGAAUGUGAAAUGUCAGAAUAAUAGUAGAGAAUUUAUUUAAUCUUUUAUUUCUUUCAUCACAUUCCCAGUGGGUCAGAAGUUUACAUGCACUCAAUUAGUAUUUGGUAGCAUUGCCUUUAAAUUGUUUAACUUGGGUUGCCUUCCACAAGCUUCUCACAAUAAGUUGGGUGAAUUGUGGCCCAUUCCUCCUGACAGAGCUGUUGUAACUGAGUCAGGUUUGUAGGCCUCCUUGCUCGCACACGCUUUUUCAGUUCUGCCCACACAUUUUCUAUAGGAUUGAGGUCAGGGCUUUGUGAUGGACACUCCAAUACCUCAACUUUGUUGUCCUUAAUUAAGCCAUUUUUUUUUGUGAAGUGCACCAGUCCCUCCUGCAGCAAAGCACCCCACAACAUGAUGCUGUUACCCCCAUGCUUCACGGUUGGGACGGUGUUCUUCGGCUUGCAAGCCUCCCCCUUUUUCCUCCAAACAUUACGAUGGACAUUAUGGCCGAACAGUUCCAUUUUUGUUUCAUCAGACCGGAGGACAUUUCUCCAAAAAAGUACGAUCUUUGUCCCCAUGUACAGUUGCAAACCGUAGUCUGGCUUUUUUAUGGCGGUUUUGGAGCAGUUGCUUCUUCCUUGCUGAGCAGCCUUUCAGGUUAUGUUGAUAUAGGACUCCUUUUACUGUGGAUAUAGAUACUUUUGUACCGGUUUCCACCAGCAUCCUCACAAGGUCCUUUGCUGUUGUUCUGGAAUUGAUUUGCACUUUUUGCACCAAAUUACAUUCAUCUCUAGGAGACAGAACGCAUCUCCUUCCUGAGCGGAUAUGACGGCUACGUGGUCCCAUGGUGUUUAUACUUGCGUACUAUUGUUUGUACAGAUGAACGUAGUACCUUCAGGCAUUUGGAAAUUGCUACCAAGGAUGAACCAGACUUGUGGAGGUCUACACAUUUUUUUCCUGAGGUCUUGGCUGAUUUCUUUAGAUUUUCCCAUGAUGUCAAGCAAAGAGGCACUGAGUUUGAAGGUAGGCCUUGAAAUACAUCCACAGGUACACCUCCAAUUGACUCAAAUGAUGUCAUUUAGCCUAUCAGAAGCUUCUAAAGCCAUGACAUCAUUUUCUGGAAUCUUCCAAGCUGUUUAAAGGCAAAGUCAACUUAGUGUAUGUAAACUUCUGACCCACUGGAAUUGUGAUACAGUGAAAUAAUCUGUAAACAAUUGUUGGAAAAAAUGACUUGCGUCAUGCACAAAGUAGAUGUCCUAACUGACUUGCCAAAACUAUAGUUUGUUGACAAGAAAUUUGUGGAGUGGUUGAAAAACAAGUUUUAAUGACUCCAACCUAAUUUUACUUCCGACUUCAACUGUAGGUAGGGGUUAAACCUGACUAGACAAUCAGGAUGGAUAAUAAACAGAGUAGCAGCAGCGUAUGUGAUAGUGUGAGUGUGACGUCAAUGUGUGUGGGUGGAGUCCAGUGAGUCUGCAUAGUGCCGGUGCAAGAGAGUCAGUACAAAUAAAAAGGGGCUCAAUGCAAAUAGUCAGGGUUGACAUUUUAUUAACUGUUCAGCAGUCUUAUGGCUUAGGGGUAGGAGCUGUUCAGGAGCCUUUUGGUCCCAGACUUGGCGCUCCGGUACCACUUGCUGUGCGUUAGCAGAGAGAACAGUCUAUGACUUGGGUAGCUGGAGUCUGGCUUAUUUUUAGACAUUGUAACAAUAUACUCUUCAAACCAUGUCGAAUUUCCAGAGUGGGCUCUUAUCAUACUUUUAAUGAUAUGACCCAUUUUUAUACAUAGAUAUUGACAUAGUUCACUAACCAAUUCCAGUCCUCCUUUAGGUCACCGGCAGAGUUCCCUUUGAAAUAUUUUGUCCAUUCACUGUUUUGGUGAUGCUCAAAUUGAUCAUACCUUCAGAAUUAGCGGAGAGCCUACUCUGGAAAUUUGAUUUACUUGUAGAGCAAGGUUCCCCAACUGGUGGCCCAUGGGCCGAAUUAGGCUCACUGGUGGUUUUAUUUGGCUCCCCAACUUUUUUUGUUUAUUGGAAUUUUCAUUGUUGGACAUAAAAUACUGCAAAAACACUAGGAAAUCAUCUCCAAGUGAGUUUUAAUUUAGGAAAUUCCCACACGAGAGACAGGUAAUCAUAUACAAAUUUAAGCAAGGUUUGAAAUGAUUGUUUGUCAUAUUAUAUCCGUUUAGGUUUCUUACGGUAAUUUUGCAGUCUACAAAUGAUUUGUAAUUAUGUUCCGACCAUCCGCUCAAGUAAAAUCAGCCCACAGCUGAAUCUAGUUGAUGAUUCCUGUUGUAAAGUAUAUGCUUCCAAACAAUGUCUUAAAAUGAAACAAAUUCUAAAAAGGUAGUUUUGAGAUAUUCAUAUUAAUAGUUGUGAAAGGUUUUAUUUCAGAACCAAGACAUACAUAUUUUACAGUACACUAUAAGAAGAAUAAUGACACCAAGAUAUCUGUCAUGUACUGUUCAAGGGGACUUUAAAAGGGUCUAAAAUAGCUACUUUCAUCAUGAUUUUCAACGGCAACAAAAACUGAUGAUACAAAUGUAAAAACCAUGUCAAACAUCCAUCUUCCAAUUAAGUUUCUGUGAGAAUUGCCAGAACAAUCUGAGAUAUAAAAUAUAUUUUCCGCUGGCAUGGAAUCGCUCUUUUGGACAUGAUAGCUCCCCACAAUCUAACAAACUAACUAACCCACUAAUUAUCUAACUAACUAACCUACUAAUUAUCUAACUAACUAACCCACUAAUUAUCUAUCUAACUAACCUACUAAUUAUCUAACUAACUAACCUACUAAUUAUCUAACCUACUAAUUAUCUAAUUAUCUAACUAACCUACUAAUUAUCUAACAAACAAGCUAAAAUCAUGUGCUCAGAGUUGAGGUUUUGGUUCAACAAACCAUCACCUCACUUUGGUGUGUGUGUGUCCGUGUGCAUGUGUGGGCAUGCGUGUGUGUGUGCCUGCAUGUGUGUACAUUUAUUCUCAAACUGUGUGCAUGACGAGGUGAUUUUGUCUGAGUGUUAAUGAGUAUGUUUAUCUAUCAGUUUUCUGCUGAGUAACAUUAUGGCAUAGCAAUGUUGUCCUCAUCCCCUAUUUACAAGUGAUUUAGCCUAAAAAUGAGGCCGCAUUUUAUGAUAACGAAACAACUGUCAAAGCUUGACUAUCAAAUUGAUCAAGCUACUGUAUGAAGCAGUUUUUCCGAAUAGCUCAGUCAUAGGAGUUAAGGAUGACCAACCUAACUAAUCAGUGACCACCAGUGUGGAAGAGGUCUUACUUCCUUGGCUUCUCUGUCCUUUAUGUACUGCCAUUACUGAAUGCUGGAUUGAUGAAACACAUUCCCCAUGUCCUUUUCACUGUGGAAUAAACUGUCAGACAUUUUGAAAAGCGCCUCUUUGUCUU
Oncorhynchus nerka (sockeye salmon) is the source of this 9251-nucleotide long non-coding RNA. RefSeq lists it as uncharacterized. The record is from RefSeq and is a predicted model, not a curated record. The transcript has 4 exons. Lineage: Eukaryota; Metazoa; Chordata; Actinopteri; Salmoniformes; Salmonidae.